This 497-nucleotide ribosomal RNA is filed under the name uncultured bacterium. RNAcentral's name for it is "partial 16S ribosomal RNA". It matches the Rfam family "Bacterial small subunit ribosomal RNA", at positions 28 to 507 of the family's 1533-position model. The record is from RNAcentral.
GAUGAACGCUGGCGGCGUGCCUAAUACAUGCAAGUCGAGCGAACAGACGAGGAGCUUGCUCCUCUGACGUUAGCGGCGGACGGGUGAGUAACACGUGGAUAACCUACCUAUAAGACUGGGAUAACUUCGGGAAACCGGAGCUAAUACCGGAUAAUAUAUUGAACCGCAUGGUUCAAUAGUGAAAGACGGUUUUGCUGUCACUUAUAGAUGGAUCCGCGCCGCAUUAGCUAGUUGGUAAGGUAACGGCUUACCAAGGCGACGAUGCGUAGCCGACCUGAGAGCGUGAUCGGCCACAAUGGAACUGAGACACGGUACAGACUCCUACGGGAGGCAGCAGUAGGGAAUCUUCCGGAAUGGGCGAAAGCCUGACGGAGAAACGCAGCGAGAGUGAGGAAGGUCUACGGAUCGUAAAACUCUGUUAUUAGGGAAGAACAAAUGUGUAAGUAACUAUGAACGUCUUGACGGUACCUAAUCAGAAAGCCACGGCUAACUACGUG